This is a non-coding RNA of Parasteatoda tepidariorum (common house spider), 587 nucleotides long. The record is from RefSeq and is a predicted model, not a curated record. NCBI's taxonomy places the organism in Eukaryota, Metazoa, Arthropoda, Arachnida, Araneae, Theridiidae.
UUAAUAUAAUUCUUAUUUUCACAAAUUAUGUCUACAUUUUCUCAAAGUAAGUACUUCUCAUAAAAACCUAGACAGACCACUGAUAUUUUAAUUCUCCUACAAGGAAACACUUUAUGGUAUUUGGCAAAACAAUUUACUGUUCAGGGAAAAUUUGAUAAAAAUUUUCCUAUUACUGCCAGAAAACUGAUUUGUUUGAAAAGAUAAAUAUCUUCAAUAUCAUUUAGAUUGUUUUAUUGUUAAUGUAUUAUUUUUUAAAUAACAAGAAGAAAAAACAGCUAUAUUUAAUGGAAAUAUUUUUUUAUAGAUGCCACGUCUUACUACUUGCUGGUGAUUUAUCUCCCCACCUUAAAGACUCUGUAACUAUGAACAGUCGACUUUUUCCAACUAAUUCAACUUGGAUGAAGGAGGAUUUUUUGUUGCGCAAAAAUGUUCAAGAACAGAUAUCUACAUCAAUGUCCUCACUUUCAUUCUUAAGUCAUUUGUUACAAAAAAUAAGAAAUAUUGUCAUUCAUGAUGAUAUUGGUCAAAAGGUGAGAGGAACAUUAGAUAUUCCUAUGUAAAGAGUUUUUAUUAAUUAUAAAAGAUUC